RNAcentral lists this unclassified non-coding RNA (355 nucleotides) under Hevea brasiliensis (rubber tree). The record is from RNAcentral. Lineage: Eukaryota; Viridiplantae; Streptophyta; Magnoliopsida; Malpighiales; Euphorbiaceae.
GAAAAAAGCUAUCACAUAUUUUCAUAGGAAAUCAACUUACAGAUAAUGCAUAAGUUAUAAAACAUCUAGACAUGUACACAAUUGCUAUAUCUUAUGUUUGAGAUGCAAAAAUUAACACACAAAUUCUUGCUAGAAAGAAGGUAAACAUUGUGCUACAUAUUUAUCAGACUUAAAUGAUGAUGACCAAUACAACAAGCAUGCUUAUCUGGGACAAAUGGACAGCCUUAUUUAAUUAAAAAAAAGAACAAUAAGGUUUCUUUACAACCAAAACUUAUAUAUAAUGGACAUGAAGGACAAAAAAGUAGUAAUAAAAGACUGGCAAUUCAAACUUACCAGUUCAGACAGAAGGGAUGAC